This 73-nucleotide transfer RNA is filed under the name Fidelibacterota bacterium. Its description in RNAcentral is "tRNA-Lys". It matches the Rfam family "tRNA". From Rfam's summary of the family: Transfer RNA (tRNA) molecules are approximately 80 nucleotides in length. Their secondary structure includes four short double-helical elements and three loops (D, anti-codon, and T loops). RNAcentral also lists the same sequence under 1 other name. The record is from RNAcentral. Lineage: Bacteria; Pseudomonadati; Fidelibacterota.
GGCCGCGUAGCUCAGUUGGUAGAGCAGUUGACUUUUAAUCAAUUGGUCGUAGGUUCGAUUCCUACCGCGGUCA